AAUGGCCGUUUUUAUACCAGAGACGCAUUAUGCGUCUGGACGAACUUGGGCAAGCAUUUGUUGUUCGUCCGGUUAUGCGUCCUUAGUAUAAAGACGGGCACAAGACGCAUUAUGCGUCUAGACGAACUAUGUUCGAUUCUUCGUCUUAAGAGACGCACAACCGAUGAUAGUUCGUCUAGACGCAUAAUGCGUCUUGUCGCAUAAUGCGUCUUGUGCCCGUCUUUAUACUGAGGACGCAUAACCAGACGAACAAUAGAUGUUGAUAGUUCGUCGCAUUGGCCG
This 282-nucleotide long non-coding RNA is filed under the name Paramuricea clavata. The record is from RNAcentral. Lineage: Eukaryota; Metazoa; Cnidaria; Anthozoa; Malacalcyonacea; Plexauridae.